GGAGGGUGCGAGCGUUGUCCGGAAUCACUGGGCGUAAAGGGCGCGUAGGCGGCCUGAUAAGUAGGGGGUGAAAUCCUGCGGCUUAACCGCAGGGCUGCCUUCUAAACUGUCGGGCUCGAGCACGGUAGAGGCAGAUGGAAUUCCCGGUGUAGCGGUGGAAUGCGUAGAGAUCGGGAAGAACAUCAGUGGCGAAGGCGGUCUGCUGGGCCGUUGCUGACGCUGAGGCGCGACAGCGUGGGGAGCAAACAGGAUUAGAUACCCUGGUAGUCCACGCCGUAAACGAUGGACACUAGGCGUCGGGGGGAGCGACCCUCCCGGUGCCGUCGCUAACGCAGUAAGUGUCCCGCCUGGGGAGUACGGCCGCAAGGCUG
Molecule: ribosomal RNA, 371 nt
Filed under: uncultured bacterium
Lineage: Bacteria
Description: bacterial SSU rRNA
Rfam family: Bacterial small subunit ribosomal RNA
Source: RNAcentral